RNAcentral lists this ribosomal RNA (766 nucleotides) under uncultured organism. RNAcentral describes it as "SSU rRNA". It matches the Rfam family "Bacterial small subunit ribosomal RNA", at positions 28 to 805 of the family's 1533-position model. The record is from RNAcentral.
GACGAACGCUGGCGGCGUGCUUAACACAUGCAGGUCGAACGGAAAGGCCCUGCUUUUGUGGGGUGCUCGAGUGGCGAACGGGUGAGUAACACGUGAGUAACCUGCCCUUGACUUUGGGAUAACUUCAGGAAACUGGGGCUAAUACCGGAUAGGAGCUCCUGCUGCAUGGUGGGGGUUGGAAAGUUUCGGCGGUUGGGGAUGGACUCGCGGCUUAUCAGCUUGUUGGUGGGGUAGUGGCUUACCAAGGCUUUGACGGGUAGCCGGCCUGAGAGGGUGACCGGCCACAUUGGGACUGAGAUACGGCCCAGACUCCUACGGGAGGCAGCAGUGGGGAAUAUUGCACAAUGGGCGGAAGCCUGAUGCAGCAACGCCGCGUGCGGGAUGACGGCCUUCGGGUUGUAAACCGCUUUCGCCUGUGACGAAGCGUGAGUGACGGUAAUGGGUAAAGAAGCACCGGCUAACUACGUGCCAGCAGCCGCGGUGAUACGUAGGGUGCGAGCGUUGUCCGGAUUUAUUGGGCGUAAAGGGCUCGUAGGUGGUUGAUCGCGUCGGAAGUGUAAUCUUGGGGCUUAACCCUGAGCGUGCUUUCGAUUCGGGUUGACUUGAGGAAGGUAGGGGAGAAUGGAAUUCCUGGUGGAGCGGUGGUAUGCGCAGAUAUCAGGAGGAACACCAGUGGCGAAGGCGGUUCUCUGGGCCUUUCCUGACGCUGAGGAGCGAAAGCGUGGGGAGCGAACAGGCUUAGAUACCCUGGUAGUCCACGCUGUAA